This 73-nucleotide transfer RNA is filed under the name Mycobacterium avium subsp. hominissuis. RNAcentral describes it as "tRNA-Arg". It matches the Rfam family "tRNA". From Rfam's summary of the family: Transfer RNA (tRNA) molecules are approximately 80 nucleotides in length. Their secondary structure includes four short double-helical elements and three loops (D, anti-codon, and T loops). Further hydrogen bonds mediate the characteristic L-shaped molecular structure. tRNAs have two regions of fundamental functional importance: the anti-codon, which is responsible for specific mRNA codon recognition, and the 3' end, to which the tRNAs corresponding amino acid is attached (by aminoacyl-tRNA synthetases). tRNAs cope with the degeneracy of the genetic code in two manners: having more than one tRNA (with a specific anti-codon) for a particular amino acid; and 'wobble' base-pairing, i.e. permitting non-standard base-pairing at the 3rd anti-codon position. The record is from RNAcentral. RNAcentral also lists the same sequence under 3 other names. Lineage: Bacteria; Bacillati; Actinomycetota; Actinomycetes; Mycobacteriales; Mycobacteriaceae.
GCCCUUGUAGCGCAACGGAUAGCGCACCGGUUUCCGGGACCGGCGGUUGCAGGUUCGAGUCCUGCCAAGGGCG